Molecule: ribosomal RNA, 494 nt
Filed under: uncultured bacterium
Lineage: Bacteria
Description: partial 16S ribosomal RNA
Rfam family: Bacterial small subunit ribosomal RNA
Source: RNAcentral
GACGAACGCUGGCGGCGUGCUUAACUCAUGUAACUCGAACGGCAAGGCCUGCUUUCCCUUGUUGAUUGCGGGUACUCGCGUGGCGAACGGGUGAGUAACACGCGCGUGAUCUGCCCCCAACUUGGUUAUAAGCCCGGGCAACUUGGUCUCAUUACCGUUAGGACUGCAGGGUGGUGCGUGCGGUGGACCACGACUUUCUCGUGGUUGUGGAUGAGCUCUCGGCCUAUCUGCUUGUUGGUGGGGUAAUGGCCUACCAAGGCGGCGACGGGUAGCCGGACGGGGACAGUGGACGGGCACAGUGGGACUGAGAUACGACCCAGACGGCUACGGGAGGCAGGAGUGGGGGAUAUGGCACAACAGGUGGAAGCCUAACGCAGCGACGCCGGGUGGAGGAUGACGGCCUUCGGGUUGUAAACUCCUCUCGACCGCGAGGAAGCCACCUGGUUGGAAGGGUGGUGACGGUAGUGUGAGAAGAGGCAGCGGCUGACUACGUG